GCUUUAAAAAACAAAAGUGUCCCACACAGGCUAGGCUUUGCUGGGCCCCGUUAUGGGGAAGCCCCAGUGAGGAGCGCGUCAGAGGAAGGAUCACAGUCACCAGGAACACCUGUCCGGAGCGAGCCGCGGAGCUCCGCUCCCCACCCCCUGCACGGAGCUGCGCGCGCCCCGCGCUGGGGAGGAGGCGGCUGACGCCAGGCCCCUGCAGGGGGCUGCACCCCGCUCUUCCGCGGGCUCCCAGGGGGAUGCUCGGCGCUGGGUCUACCCGCCGGGCGAGCCAGAGGCAGUUCGGCACUUCCCAGGUCAAUGAAGCUGGGUUUGCCUUUGGUCCACAGUUAAAAGGACACACAACAGCAGUGGAGCACUGAAUGGAUGCAGCAGAACAAAUGUAAAGGACGGAAGUUAUUGCAAUUAUAUAAAAAAUGGAGAAAGAGGGGAGAUGCAAACGCCCUUCUGCGAAAUAACCCUCUAACUUUUAUGCAUACUCAGUGCACAUUUCCUAUACUUAAAGUAUAUGAAAAGUGUAUGAAUAUAAAACUAGUGUGGUUUCUUUUUUUUUUUUUUUUUUUAAAGAAACAGGUGACAAGAGAAGAGCGAGGAGGAGACAGAGAAAGCAGGGGACAGAAGGAGAAAUAGUGAGUUGUUACUAAGAAUCCUGAUUUUUUUUUUAAAAGUUACAUCCAUGUUAGUCCCACAAUAUUACAGCUGCUCCUUGCAAAGGGAGUCCUAAAAAGAAACAAUGAAGAAACUUGGUCUGAAGCUCAUAUG
This is a non-coding RNA of Caretta caretta (loggerhead turtle), 768 nucleotides long. The record is from RefSeq and is a predicted model, not a curated record. NCBI's taxonomy places the organism in Eukaryota, Metazoa, Chordata, Testudines, Cheloniidae.